Molecule: long non-coding RNA, 5864 nt
Organism: Ostrea edulis (European flat oyster)
Lineage: Eukaryota; Metazoa; Mollusca; Bivalvia; Ostreida; Ostreidae
Exons: 2
Source: RefSeq, a predicted model, not a curated record
AUAUAACCAGAAAAGUUGCCUUCACUGUCGGAGUGUCGUCUGCUAGCAGGUCCUGGAGCAGGGGCUUGCCUAGGAGGGUGACCUUUGCUGCCUCCGUGUCAUCAUCAAGUAGUUACUGGAACAGCAGUACCUUGGUGUUUCCCGUGGUCAUCACUAACGUGGGAAACGGAUACAACCCCAGCAACGGAAUAUUUACCGCUCCUACCAACGGGAAUAUAGACAUGUACCGAUAACAAUCAUCGUGAGUUAAACAUUUGCAUGGCAUCUCAUACUUCAUUAGAUGUUUAUUAUAUGAAUGAAUUGUCGAAAAUCGAGCAUUCAGAAUUUUACUCUGCCUUUGUGCUAUUACAUGUUUCCAGGAAAUAAUUCUUACCUACACAGACUACUGUAUACAAGGAAAUAUUCGCCCCGUUUUAUUUUCGUUCCUCUCAACCUUGUCAGUGGAUGAAUUUAAAACUGAACGAAACCGUUUUGUCUUUUAUCACAAUUGAUUCUGGGCGAAUUUAAAACAGGUCAAAAUUGUUUACAUGUGUAAAAGGGCGAAAACACGAGGUGAACAUAACUUUAUAUACAGUAUAUGUCUUUUUGUCCCGUAUAAUACAUAUUUCAUGAACAAUAGUUCUGACUUUAGUCACCACCUGUAACUUACAUUACAUACACCGAUUGUGUUAUCGUACUCACGUGUGCUUUAUCCGCUGUCGAACUGACUCAAAAUUUCUUCCCAGCUCUAAGUGCAGAUCCAUGACGUGUUUUUAAUUUUUGUUUCAUCUUUUUUGUUUCCUUUCCUUUUCGUUAUCUUUUAUCUUAAGAUGAUCAAAUCUGCAUGUUACGGCUUGGAUGUCGUGCACGGUGUCGAUGUUUUACAAUGAUUGAUUUAGCCAUCGAUAUAUCUAUUCAAUAAUCUGACAUAAGAAUAUAUAAAGUGUGUAUCGUUAAAGAAUCGUAUAACUUUUUAAAAUUAGAAUUUGUUAACAUGUAGUCCUAUAUUUUAUUUUCCUAAUCCUCACAGGUUUGUUAAUUGAACUUCGCCAUAUGAAAGGUGAAUAUAACGAAUAACAAAUAGUGAUCAAUCUCAUAACUCCUAUAAGCAAUACAAAAUAUAUACUUGGGUAAACACGAACCCCUGGACACACCAAAGGUGGGAUCAGGUGUCUAGGAGUAAGCACCCCUGUCGACUGGUCACACCCGCCGUGAGCCCCUUAUAUCCUGAUCAGGUAAUCGGAGUUAUCCGUAGUCAAAAUCAGUGUGCCAAGAACGGUCUAACAAUCGGUAUGAAACACGUCAGACAGCAUUUAACCCAAUGAUAGGUUGUAUAGACGAACUAGAUCGUUAUAAUAACUAUAGAAUUUGCGAAAUGCUGACUUCAAUCGAGACUGUUGAAACCUCUGUACCAUCAACUUGUUUAUCAGUAGCUUACCUCGAUUUAAAAACUGACCAUACGCAGAACAAGCUCUUGCGUAUUGAACCAGUUGAGAGAUAUAAACACCAUAUGAAGGUGAUAAUGGAAUAUUGCUAUAUAAAUAUGGGAAGCUGAAAUCAUCCUGUUUGUAAUGCAGUUGAGUUGUCACUUUGCCGUUAUGUCUAUUGUCAAUAAAAUAUCUAAGUAUGAAGCAGAAGUGUAAGACUCCGUGGUGUCUUUUAUUUCGAGCUCACAGGGAUAAUUCGAAUCGACAUAUGAAUAAAAAUUAUUAUUGUUAAUAGACAAAACGUCGUCAAUAUAUCUAAAUGUCGAAUUAAAGGCCACAGCAAGAAAGUUUUUCUUCGCACUAGAAGUUUUUGAGUAAAUUCUGCUUCAUAUGAAUAUAGAAACAGGUCAGCUAACAAAGGAACACAAUUCGUGCCCAUGGGAAUUCCAACAGACUGCUGGAAGACCUGAUCAUCAAAGACCACGAAGAUAUUGUCAAUGAAGAACUCUAGCAUAUUUUUCAACUUCAGAGUAAUUCUGCUGGAAUCAGAGUGGUGUUUAAAAAAGUAAUUUUUUGAUGACUGAUCACUAUAUAUGAAUAUUUCCUUUUUCCAUUUUUGUUGAAAAGCAACUGUCUAUGAUGUCAAGAAAUCUAGUCUUUUUUAUCGCAAGGAAUGGUCAUGUAAAGUGUUGAAAAGUCAUAGUUUUGAUGUUAUUGAUUUGGGAAAAGUUUUGCGAUUUCAAGUUUAUUAAAAGUUAUUUAGAAUUUUUCAGAAUCCACAUUUCAUUCACAGUAGCUUAGUGAGUUUGAAGUUUCUCCUUCAUAGCUGUUAAUAUUUUCUUGAGGAGCAAAGAUAGGGGCUUGGUAGAGCACUUACUGGAUCCAGCAAUGCAUCUUUGUUUGUAAGAGUUUUUAUGUACAUGUAGUUUAGGAAUACAUUGUAGGUACGGUAACUCAUUCAUUCAACCCAUUGGCUGGGAUAUUAAAUGUGUCUAAGACUGAAGCAUGGUUUUGAAGAAUUUCAUCUUCUGAAAGGGCAGUUAGAGUAUAAGUAUGAUAACCAAAAGUGGAAGUAAUGCCAAGUUCGUUUAAAAUACAGUUGUAAUAAUGAGCCUUACAAACAAAGACAAUGUUGUUACACGCUUUGUCACCUGGAACCAAAACAUAUUCCUCAUGUAACCUAUCUAAUUCUUUUAUCACUUUUGGUUUACUAACCACAGAAGGAUAGAUGGUAUGUAUUUUUGUUUUAAUGUGUCUAAUGUGGGAUUUUAAUAUUCCUCUUAUGCUUUUAACUCAUUCUGACAAUGUAUCAAGUUCUUCUUUUUCAUAUUUAGCCCAUUGUUUGGCAUGAUCGUCGACAUAAUUCAUAAUAGAGAUGAAGUUCUGUCACCAAUUAAAAGACCGAGGUUCGCUGUAUUAAGGACAUUUUAGAAUAAGUGAUUUGAGGUCCUCAUUUUCAACUAUAUCAACAUCACCAAUAAUGACAUGUCCAGAUGGACUAUUGUUGAAAGAAGAUGAACAAGAAGACGUUGGUGGAUUAAGUAUAAAAUGGUUUAUAUCUAUGCACUGCAAAGUGUGUUUAUAAUUAAAGAGUUUGGAUGCAAUAGUAGAAGUAUAGUUCUAGGAAAUACAGGGUGCAGACGUGAACUUGAAAUAACUUGAAAUACACGACUGAACCCUUUUAUGACGAAGAAUGUUGCUUAUGUUGACGGUAUCUAUUCCUUUGUUUGUAAAUUUGAGCUUACGGAGCUGACUGCAUGAUUUGGAAGGAAUAUCAUCCAUGACCCGUGCUGGUUGAAAGAGCUUUUGAUAGGCAACAUCCAGAAUCAUAGAGUCCAGUCUAUAUUCAGGUGUUGAAAAAUCCAAGUAUAAAUACACACAAUCCUCAUAGAAAAUUGGAUAUAAAACAAAAAAUGCAUCUCUACCACACGUACAACUGACCUACAGUUGUUUUCCUAAUAUUGCAUAAUAUAACGAAGUCUGUUCAUCCAACCGUUUGGUAGAUAUCCAAACUUAUCCAACCUAUAUCAAGUUGAAGGUAUCAUCUCAUUGGGUAUAUUGAUGCGUAACAAUGCAAUUUACAAGAACGCAUAAAACAUCACACACAUGUAAAUACCAUUAUCUUAAGUUGGAUUACUGACAAUCUCCUGUAACGAUUCUGAGGGAAUAAAAGUAUAUCCCUACAUUUUGAACCAAUGUGUUCACAAUGACUCUUGCAAAAUACAAAUUGUGUAUUAAUCAUAAAGGUAAUACAAGUCAAAGAAUCAGGGCUCGGUUAUCUUAAACUCCUUGAUUAUGUUCGAAUGUGUUUUCUAAUGAUCUCACCAGCUGUAUACCUCAGGUGCUGAAAGAAAAAAAUGAAACACUUUCAAACAUAAUAAUUGAUAAGGGAACUGAUUAUGCAAUUGCAAUGCAAAGUAUGUAAGGACAAAGUUACUCGAAAUAUGUCAAUGAAACAUAUGAAAAUGUUUAAAAAAUUUGUAGGUUUUAAAAGUCAGAAUUUUCCGGAUAUAAUAGACUAUGGAGUCAAACUUUGGACUAUUACAGUGCAUUUUUAUCACUUUGAAAUCAACAGUAUGGUUAAGUAGAUGAAAAAUUAUUGCAAAUAGUCAAAAUUACAUUUUCUUCAAUUCAUAGAAAAGAAACAUAUUUCCAUUGUUUAGCUUAAGAGCAUGCCUUUAAACAUAUGUUAAAGUGAUGUGUUCUAUUUUUAAAAACGGCUGUACUCUAGGAAAGGCCGCUUAACAUAUUUUUUUUCCAUGAAGUUGGUCAAUAUACAUCUUCGAAAAAUACAUGCAAAUUUUGAUAGAAAUAUCGGGUUUUCAAUAUUAAGAUGUGGUAUGAGGAAUUAUCUUAAUAUACCAGUCAAUGGGAAGAAUGAAUAUAGUUACCAUACCUAUACUGGAUUCCUAAACUUUACAAACAUUCUUAAAAUCAUAGAUACAUUACUCCAUCCAGAAAUGUUUUAUCAACUAUAGGAACUAUCACGAAAAUGUAAAGAGUUGUGAGUUAGAAACUUGAAGCGUAUACCACAGCAUAUUCUAGAAGUGGUGUAAAUCAAAUGUGGAUUAUAAAACAAAAUCUAAAGAACAAUUCAUAAAUUUGAAAUCACAAAACGUUUCUCAAAUCAACACUCACAGAACCCAUGAUUUGUAAACACUUUAGAUGACCAUUCGUCACGAUGAAUUAGAGAAUAGACAUUUUGACAUCACAGACAGUUGCUUCUUCAACAAAAACGAAAAAAAAAAGAAAUAUUCAUAUCUGAUAUGUCCAGGGGUCUGUGUUUGCUCAACUCUCUAUUUUGAAUUGCUUUGAGGAGUUAUGAGAUUGAUCACUGUUCGUUAUCUUCACCCUUUAUCUAGUGAUAAAUGGCCAUUUUCACAAAAAAUCUUACGACUAAGAUAGAAAAGAAGUUUAGCGCAUUUGCUGACGAUAUGGCCGACUCAGAAAUCUAAAUGGAAAACACCGGUUUCCAAUAAUAGACUUGCGUGUUAUAAUUAAAUAUAAGGCCAAAGUUUUAUUUUUAUGUUUCGUUAACCAAGAUAAAUAACUGCCGCAGUUUAGCAUUACUGACAUUUAUAUGAGUCGUUCUUUACUUGAUAAACCAUUUCCAUAUUUGAAAUGAUGAACAGUACAAUAUUUAUAUAGAUCUGUGCAUUCAUAUUACACAACAACCCUUUUACAUAUGGUAUUACUUCACUCACUGUUCGGACAUGACUGCAGCGCCUUUAAUGUAUGUCAUCAGUUCAUUUGUCUUUGGUUGAUAAUUUGAGUGUUUAGCUUUCAUGCCUAAAUAUCGUAUGACAGUUGCUACAUGAGUAUUUCUUUAACUUUUCGUCAGCCACAUUACGGUUUGAAAAUCCCGUGCACACAGGAACAUGUUAGUGUAAACAAACGGACUACAAUGAUCUCGGAAUAAAUUCCCUUUCUUUAAGUCGUAACUUGCAAAUAUAAGACGUUAUGAUGAAAAUGACUAAUAUUUGUUAUAAUAUAUUUAUCACAUUUAAAACUCACCCCCCCUUUCAAGAAAAGACCCACAAAAAAUGAAAAGCAAAAGAAAAAAAAGAAGAAAAACAAGAGGGAAAUAUUAGACUUGAACUAGGAAUGUAUGGUUUAAGUGUAAGACAAGAUUACCGAUCACCUAAACCACUAGUCCACCCAGACAUGUGAGUUUAAAUGUUUAACGUUUGACAGGCUGCUAAAUCUCAAGGUAAAUUUUGAGAACGAUUUUUUCAUAUUUUAUCCAUUUUCAAGAAGAGGGUCACCUUAAACCAAAUUUCCUCAAACGGACUUAUAUACAGUCAUAAUCAAGUAAAACAAUUUCAGUGUUCUAUUUCUGGUUUAAGGUGGCCUUUUGCAACAGUUUGCAAUUUUUUAUGCCCAUUACGUUACAUCUACUAUAUACUCUAUAUAAUCACGGUGAUGUUUAUGCUUGUCAAAUAAAUAUACUAUCAACAU